ACUUUGCAAGAUGUUGUAUAUAUUGUAAAGCUGGCUCCCUAAUAGAAGGCAGCUAAAGACCUCUGCACUUAAAUCUGCCAAAGCUGAUACAGCAAUCACAAACAUGUGUUGUUACACUUCUUGUGGCUCAUCUCCACAUGGUGCAGCUGUUGUGUUGGCUAACGAAAAUGCAGACCCAAGGGAAACAAAUUUAAUUCAGCUGGGGUGACUUCCACUAAAAACAAAAGUGUUUUAAGGAGAACAGGUGCCUUACAGUAAGGGGGAUUGUUUGUGGGGGUUUUCCCCAAACUUGCUGUGCUUCUAGGAAGUCUGCUCUAAAGUGGUGAGCCUGCGCUGCAGGACAGGAAGACCAGCGCAAGACCUUAUCGCAUGAGCUAGAAGCUGGAGGCAGCCUGGGCAGUGUUGUUUGGAUUCCUCAGCCUUAGGAAAGGUUUCGUCAACCAAGGGCUCUGCUGGGGCAGCCCCGCAGCCGGUAAGGACAUCGUACGUUGCACACCAUGAUACCUCCUUCAGUUUCGUUGCACCUGCCCACCUCAGACAUUGCAGCAGCCACCAAACCUUCCUCUUCCUGUUGUCAACCCUCUUUCCAAAAAGAAAAAAAUGUUACUCCAGGCAAUACUCUCUUGUGUCCAGUGUCUACAUACUUCAGUUUCUAGUUUGGGGCCUGUUUUUUCUUUCUCCCCCCAACAAGGUCAAAAUUUUUGGUGAAGCAGAAGCCCAAAUGAAAGA
Molecule: non-coding RNA, 729 nt
Organism: Anas platyrhynchos (mallard)
Lineage: Eukaryota; Metazoa; Chordata; Aves; Anseriformes; Anatidae
Source: RefSeq, a predicted model, not a curated record